GGUGGUCUAAUACCUUAUAGUAUCCAUCUCGUAUGGAUUAAAGCUUUAUGCGCUUUGGGAGGGGCCUGCGUUUGAUUAGCUAGUUGGUGAGGUAAAAAGCUCACCAAGGCGACGAUCAAUAGCUGGUUUGAGAGGACGACCAGCCACACUGGGACUGAGAUACGGCCCAGACUCCUACGGGAGGCAGCAGUAAGGAAUCUUCCACAAUGGGGCAACCCUGAUGGAGCAAUACCGCGUGCAGGAUGAAGCGUUUCGGCGUGUAAACUGCUUUUAUCACCGAAGAUUAUGACUGUAGGUGAAGAAUAAGGACCGGCUAACUACGUG
This 324-nucleotide ribosomal RNA is filed under the name uncultured bacterium. RNAcentral describes it as "bacterial SSU rRNA". It matches the Rfam family "Bacterial small subunit ribosomal RNA", at positions 157 to 507 of the family's 1533-position model. The record is from RNAcentral.